UACCAUGACGACAACGGCCUCAAGGAGCUGGAGGAGCACUGCCCGGCCGUGCGCUUCGACGAGCUCUCCGUAUCCAACGACGGCACCAGCGCCGGGAUGCCCAUCCUCCCAGAGGGAUGCGUGGUGUGCCUCAGCGACUUCCACGGCACCGCGCGUGUGCGCCGGCCGCGGCGGUGCCGGCACGUCUUUCACUUUGGCUGCCUCGACCGCUGGGCCGCUCACGGCCAGAGAACCUGCCCGCUCUGCCGGGCUCCGUUCCUCCCGCCCUUCCUCCUGCCCAUGCCAGUCCCGACGUCGUGA
This 300-nucleotide ribosomal RNA is filed under the name Triticum aestivum (bread wheat). RNAcentral's name for it is "partial small subunit ribosomal RNA". The record is from RNAcentral. Lineage: Eukaryota; Viridiplantae; Streptophyta; Magnoliopsida; Poales; Poaceae.